Molecule: ribosomal RNA, 412 nt
Filed under: Janthinobacterium sp. DN27
Lineage: Bacteria; Pseudomonadati; Pseudomonadota; Betaproteobacteria; Burkholderiales; Oxalobacteraceae
Description: bacterial SSU rRNA
Rfam family: Bacterial small subunit ribosomal RNA
Source: RNAcentral
AUCCAGCAAUGCCGCGUGAGUGAAGAAGGCCUUCGGGUUGUAAAGCUCUUUUGUCAGGGAAGAAACGGUGGGAGCUAAUAUCUCCUGCUAAUGACGGUACCUGAAGAAUAAGCACCGGCUAACUACGUGCCAGCAGCCGCGGUAAUACGUAGGGUGCAAGCGUUAAUCGGAAUUACUGGGCGUAAAGCGUGCGCAGGCGGUUUUGUAAGUCUGAUGUGAAAUCCCCGGGCUCAACCUGGGAAUUGCAUUGGAGACUGCAAGGCUAGAAUCUGGCAGAGGGGGGGAGAAUUCCACGUGUAGCAGUGAAAUGCGUAGAUAUGUGGAGGAACACCGAUGGCGAAGGCAGCCCCCUGGGUCAAGAUUGACGCUCAUGCACGAAAGCGUGGGGCCCAAACAGAAUGAGAUACCCUGG